GAUGAAGAACGCAGUGAAAUGCGAUACGUAAUGUGAAUUGCAGAAUUCAGUGAAUCAUCGAAUCUUUGAACGCACAUUGCGCCUGCCAGCACUCUGGCAGGCAUGCCUGUUCGAGCGUCAUUUCAACCAUCAAGCCCUAGGCUUGCGUUGGAGCCCUGCGGCUGCUGCAGGCCCCUAAAAGCAGUGGCGGGCUCGCUAUCACACCGAGUGCAGUAGAUUACUCUUCGCUCAGGGCGUGUGGCGGGUUCCAGCCGUGAAACCCCCUACUUCUCAAGGUUGACCUCGGAUCAGGUAGGAAUACCCGCUGAACUUAAGCAUAUCAAUAAGCGGAGGA
This 334-nucleotide unclassified non-coding RNA is filed under the name soil metagenome. RNAcentral's name for it is "partial contains 5.8S ribosomal RNA, internal transcribed spacer 2, and large subunit ribosomal RNA". The stretch from base 1 to 120 matches the Rfam family "5.8S ribosomal RNA", at positions 35 to 154 of the family's 154-position model. The record is from RNAcentral.